AAGCAAACGUCGCCGCGUACGCACGGCGGCCACGAUGUACUAGGGAGGUUCCAGGCAGACGUGGAACCGCUGUCUGCCGCGCACUAUUCCUUUGCCAUGUUGUUCUCUCUAGAAAAAAAGGACUACGAAACAAAAAAGCAAGCAGGAUACUUUAGAAUGAAUGCGGACUCUGGCGGCGAGACCAAUGGCGAGGCGGGCCCGGCCGCCGCAGCGGUGGCGUCUUUUCCGCAGCUGACGCUUGAGGAGGAGGCUGAACUGCUGGCCAAGUACGGCGCCGAGGGACCCUACGACGACUACCUUGAGUGGGCAGCACCGAGUCAGUUUAAAUCGCAGAUGGGCGACGGCCAUGUCUUUCUUACGGGUGCGGCGUCCGACGACGACGACGACGUAGGCGAUCACGCUGCUGCCGCAGACUCCUGCCGCCAUGGCAACGCAAUUGCACCAAGGCGUGGCCGCGAACAUGCACACAGGGACCCGCUGCGAUUGUAUCUCCACGAGAAGUUUCCUUCCCUCAUGUUUCUGGACAAAACUACACCAGCGUCGCUGAUGGAGACCGUUACGGACACCCUAGACGCUCUCGAGAACCUGAGCAACGCCGAUGGGCGCCAAAGAGAACGAGCAGAGGGCCACGCGUCAACGCUGCCACUUACCGGAUUCACGCGGUCUCCCGCUGUGGAGCGGCAUGCUGCCGUCUUGCGAAGCGGAAAAGAGUGGGCACGCCGUGCGAGUAUAGCUGUUCAGGGCGCGUCUAUCACUUCGAUGGCAUCGCACUUGUUUGUGCCGGACACGCAUGACGCACCUUUGGCGCGCCGUGGUGAUUGUUCCCCCAUGAAAGCAGCGGGCGCGCCUGCAUGCACCGAGGAUAUCGAGUUUCACCGCCUCGUUGAAUCAACGGAGCAGCUGCUCGCCAAAGCAACGGAGGCACUGAAGGCAUGCUCCGCGGAGGCGUGCGACAAGGAAGCAGACGACAUAGCGCACGCCGUGCGCAAGCAGCAAGAGCGCGAGGCGCUGCUUACCGAGGAUGCGCUAGAUGUGUAUUUCGACAGGAUGGAGGUGCUGAACGGGGACGAAGACGACGAGGAGGCAGUGCAGCUGCUUCGUCGUGCUCGCGAGGGACGUGCACGGCUCCGUGCCGCCCUAGCGCUGCGUACAGUGGACACACCUGCAAGCGACAUUUGUGCGGGGUAUGAUGAAGUGGAGAUGGCACCGUGCGCCGAAGAUGUCGACGCGGACGCGCCGUCACUGUUUUCCCUAACGCCGGGCCUUCCGUAUCUUUGCGCAUUCGAGAUGGAGCUCCCGCUUUCGCAGCCGGUAGCGGCUCAGCCGCUGCCUGGCAGCAACGGCGCUGUGGUGCGGGCACCAGAGGCGCAUCCCGGGAUCCGCAGUGGAGCGCAGGCGGUGCCAGAGGCGGUGGGCCCGCCGACCGACUUUACAACUGAGGAAGAGAAGUCCGUGUCGCUUCCGCAGCUGCUCACGAGAAGCACGGAGGUACUUGCAUUGAUCGCAGACGCGGAGCUCCGCGAUGCUCAGAUGCAGCUGGACGCCGCGGCGUCAAGAGAGGCACACGUGCGAGCGUGUCGGCCCGGUAGUCCUGCGCGAAGAGGAAUGGCGCAGACAACGCUGCAGAGAGACGACCGAAGCGCACUCGGCCUUGCAACGCUUCCGUCGUUUGUGCAGCAGCUCGACAUACUCCUCUCUCCCACACGAGAGGAGCAACAUUACCGUGGGGCAGCUCCAACGCGGUCGCUUCAGCCGGAUACCCAGGUAGGCCUCGACGAUGGCGCCAACGCCGCUCUGGAGCAGCAAGGCGGAGGUAGCAAUGGUGCAGCCGAGUCCGUGUCGCUUGUGAACACUUCGCUAGAACGAAUUCGCCGGCAGGCGGCACUAGAGUCUUUUCUUGUAGACCGCGAGGCCACUGAGGGUCACCGCAUGCGCAUCGAAGAUGAGCUGGUGGAGCGCGAGAUUCGCGCCUGUGCAGAUCGUCUCACUUGGUACGCAGAGCAGCGUACUACGUUGGCACAGUCUGCUGUGCAGGCGGCGGGGCGCCUUUGCGAGACAGAGAGAGCCGCAUACGCCGAGCUCCUCGCCGCCGCCAACAAGGACAGAGCGCUGGCGCAGCAGUCACAGGAACUGCGACGCCUCCAAGAAACGGAGAAGCUGGUGUACACACUCAUCUUAGAGUGGGAGGUGCAACGGGAGAAGCUGUUGCAGGAGGAGGCACUAUCGCUUCGGUCGUUGCGUCGCGACGCAGAAGAGGAAGAGCAGCGUGCUCGAAUCGCCACCCGGAAACGCGUGGAUGGCGAGAUAGCCGCUGCAAAGAAAGCCAUGGUGCAGCUUCGCGCCGUCUUUGAGCAGCAGCGUGUACGGCCAGGUCCACGGACACUGCAAGGCGAAAAUGACGCGCCUGCAGCUGACACCGCGAUGUCUCUGGGGGAGAACCCACUGCGCGAGAGCCAAUGGUAUGCUUGGCGGAUCGCGCCGUUGCUCAGAGAACGAGCCGCAUUGCUGCGCUGGGCCUCGACGCAGCAAAAGGUACUCGAGAGCGUCCGCAGUCUUCUUGUAGAGGCUGAGGGCCAUUACCGCGCUCAUGCCAAGGGUGCUGCUGAGAGUCUCAACAGCACCGAAACUCCAGCCUCUGUGGUGGUGCUCCCGGAGAAUCCCCCUGUAGUGGAGGAGCACGGUAUGUCCGUCGGGCACGCCGCCGCGGAUGCUCGAGUGCUGGACGCCGACGCAUUUGUGAGGCUGCUCUGGCCGUCGCUCCACGCUGUGGUACGCAACCCACGGCGGGCACCCCAGCACCUGGCGAAGCUCGUGCUCUCCCUCGAAGACCUGCAGCAGGUAGACUGGGGCCAGCUGCGUCAGCUCAGCCUCAGCGCUGCCCAAGGUGCAAGGGCACAGCGCGAACCCGAAGCCACGGUUUCGGUCGCGCGUGUGGUGAAGGAGUUGGAUUUAAGCGGCAAUCCUCUGCGGCAAUUCGAUGUCGUGGAGGCUAUCCGCACCUUUUCCUCAUUGCAGUCGCUCAGCGUUUCUCAUGCACAACUGCAUACCCUGGCCGCAUCAGGCGCGACAGCCACGACAGGCAAAGUGCACGCGGCGGGAUCGCCCGACCAGCGCCUCCUCUCUGCCGCCAGCGCUGCCUCUUCUCGCUCCUCGCACCUGCGCCACGUAGCGGCGGCCCGCAACCACGCGCUGGCGGCGCAGGUUCACCUGCUGUCUCUUAGCGUCUCCUCCAAUAAUCUUGCUUCGCUCACGCCGCUGGGUACGCUCGCCUCUUCCUCCUUGGUUCGCUGCACGGCCACAGAGAACAAGUUGACUACCCUUGACUCCCUUAGUGGCUGCGUGCAGCUGCGCGAGCUGUCAGCAGCUCAUAACCGACUGACUGAUGUGCGAGCUGCCAGCACGAUGCCGCUGCUGCGCGAGCUGGAUGUGGGGAACAACGAACUCGCAACUUUGACUGCAAGAGCAGAUGGAGGUGGAGAUGAAGGUACAUCGAGCUCGCCCAUGCUGCUCAGCAAGCUGUGCGCCUCGCACAAUCCACUGCGUGCGCUUCCAACGAGUCAGUACGUCUACCCCUGCUUAACGCAGCUGUUUGUGAAUCACACCAAGCUCCCCUCCCUUGGCGCUGCCACCCUCGGGUGGUUUCCGAUGCUGACGGUGCUGCAGGCCGAGGGUAAUGAGAUCAGCGACAUUAGCGGACUGCAGCACUGCCCGAGGCUGAGGUCGCUGAGGCUAUCGCACAAUCGGCUUGCCUCUCUAAGCGGACUAGAGCCGCUGAGAUGCUGCACGCGGCUGCAGGUGCUUGAUCUAACGGGGAAUCCGUGUCUGGUCGAGGACUCCAAUGAUGCCCAAAUUGCCGCGGCGGUGACUCGUGCACUAUACGAACUCUCGCCGUCUUUGGAGGUACUGAACAACCGCCCUCGGGAACGCGCUCGUGAGCUGCGACGAAUGCCGGAGUCCCACUCGCCAUCUACGCAUGCACCGACAACAGGGACAGAGGUAGGCGACAAUCGGGACGGCGGAUGGCACGCCGACGCUGCUCUUGCUGCGUGCGUCACGUCGUCGUCGCGAUACCUCCCUGCUACUCCCCAGCUAUACCGAGAGGUCUUUGCCGCCCUGUGCUGGGAUGCACAGCUGCAGCACGUGCUGGAGGAGAAGGAGCUGCGCGAGGCGUACGCACAGCGUCCGUUGAACCGCGCUAAGGGCUGGGAGCUAACCGCCUCUGACGCUGCUGCUGCUGUUGCUGUUGCUUGUGCGGAACGCGACGGCGAUCAGCCACCGAGUAAUCACGGUGCUGCAGCAGUUGCGGAUCUGAACGCGGUAACGGCGGCACAAAUUCACGUUCGCGCAGCGGAGCACCAGCGUCACGUGGAACACUACCGGGUCGACGCCGCGACGGUGUCUGAGUGGAUCAGCCUGUCUCCUCGUCCCCCUUCAGCGGCGCUUGCUGUGCCUGCGGAGGGUGACCCGCUAGCAAACGCGCACGUGCGUAACUUUUCCUACAAGCAGCAGCAGCAAGACCACAUCGCCCUUCUCGCUCGCGCAUAUCUUACGGAGUGGCUGCACGGCCGCGUACUCGUUCGACGGGCUCGCCUCGAGCUGGCCCGUCUGCGGCUCGCGUACCGGCAGUCCCGGGCGCGCCAGGAGGAGCUUGCCGUCCAGCGCAUCCAGCCAGUCUGGCGUGGCGCGGCGUUGCGCUCACGGCUGCAGCGUUUUUUGCACCCAGAGCUGGCCGGCAAAGGCGAGAAGAUCGACGUCGAUGACUUUCCCAAGGUCAACGUGGACGACUGGCUCGUCGAUAACGCCGCUGCUCUGGCGCCGGUGGAGGUGCUCUUCCAUGACGUGGUGGAAUCGGCGCGUGGUCUGGCCCCCGUGCCGUUCGACAUUUCGGAGAUGACGACCUCGCCCGCUGUGGCUGCAAACAGUGGUGCAUCGCCACCGCCAGUCUCCACCAGCUUCACCCGUGCACUCCCAAAUGACGCUCCGCCGCAGAACGGGGUGGCCAGCGGCCACGCCGCACCGCAGCGCAUCGUUGACGAGCCGCCGGGUGGCGAGGUCGCGGUGGUUGGUAAGCUGAGGAGUAGCGGUUCAACUCUGGCUGAGCAGUGGGGUCCCCUUGUAGCGGCGCAGAUCCGAAAGAGGCGGCAAAAGUUUGCUCGCUCGCACCAGCAGCACGUGCGCGAGGAAUUCCUUCAGGACCCGCUGCGUGUAAAGCGGGAGGCGCGAGAGGAUCGUGCGCAGCAGCGGCCCAAGUAGUAGGAUGCCCCUGAUCCGCAGGUGUACCCUCUUCACUGUCCGCCGCAGCAGUCCCGGCGGAGAUGAAAACAGUUGCGCUCCCCACCGCUGCCCUGCGUUUUGCCCCUCUUGGCCAAGCGGGAUUGGCUGUGACUCUGCCCUUCUCCGCGACUACGUGCGCACGCUGUGGGGUGGGGGGAGGGGAAGGGGGAGGCACACGUCUUCCACGGGGUCGUUGGCAAAUUUGUGCACUACGUAUGCAUUAGAAAAAGCACACCAACAUGGAGGAUAACGGAAGCGGAAGUGGAGUGGAACGCCUGGCUGCACUACUGCAUCUGUGUUGAAAACGUUGGACUCGCUGUGUUGGCAAAGGAGAGCGUGCCGACUCCGGGAGGAAUAGCUUGUUGACUCAUCUCGUGGAGGCUGCCUAGAGAAGAAACAGCGAGGCAUGGACGUUGCGAGCACGCCACGACUCCUCCGAAGGAGAUGGCAGCCGUUUUGCCACUGCCUGUUCUCCCUCGAAGUGUGGCAUUCCUUGUUCGCCAAUCAGGGGCGCGCACAUGGGCGGCGCCGACCUUCACGAAGGAUGCAGGCUGUGGAUGCUUUGGCUCCGGAAGAGGCACUUCUCAUCCUCCGCCCCCCCUUGACAUCCCCGUCUUUGCCUCUUUUUCCUUUCUAUCAG
This 5914-nucleotide unclassified non-coding RNA is filed under the name Leishmania donovani. RNAcentral describes it as "gene:LdHU3.30.3080(CDS-product:Leucine_Rich_repea ts_(2_copies)_putative)". Lineage: Eukaryota; Euglenozoa; Kinetoplastea; Trypanosomatida; Trypanosomatidae. The record is from RNAcentral.